GACAGGGUGGCCUAAUGGUUCGUGCGCUGGACUCUGCAUUGAGCGGUCCGGGUUUGAGCCCUGGCCCAGGGGUCA
This is a non-coding RNA of Desmophyllum pertusum, 75 nucleotides long. The record is from the annotation of a GenBank genome assembly. Lineage: Eukaryota; Metazoa; Cnidaria; Anthozoa; Scleractinia; Caryophylliidae.